CCAGGUAAGAGUGCAGCCCAGCCAACACCUAGAUUUCAGCUUUGGGAAGCCCUAAGCAGAGAAUGCUGCUGGGCCACACUGUGCCUGGACUUCUGAUCCAUGCUUACUGAUUGAGCGUUUAUAGGCAUCCAGCAAUCAAUAAGAGUUCAAGAGCGAGAUAAGCUGAGAUAUAGAAAAUAAUGGUGAAGCUUUGGCCUGUGGCUCCUGUCUGCCCUCUCAACUCCAAGCCUGCC
This is a long non-coding RNA of Diceros bicornis minor, 233 nucleotides long. RefSeq lists it as uncharacterized. The transcript is spliced from 3 exons. The record is from RefSeq and is a predicted model, not a curated record. Lineage: Eukaryota; Metazoa; Chordata; Mammalia; Perissodactyla; Rhinocerotidae.